UACGUAGGGUGCAAGCGUUGUCCGGAAUUAUUGGGCGUAAAGAGCUCGUAGGCGGUCUGUCGCGUCUGCUGUGAAAACUCACAGCUUAACUGUGGGCGUGCGGGCGAUACGGGCAGACUUGAGUACUGCAGGGGAGACUGGAAUUCCUGGUGUAGCGGUGAAAUGCGUAGAUAUCUGGAGGAACACCGGUGGCGAAGGCGCAUCCUGGACCGGCAUUGACGCUGAGGCGCGAAAGCCAGGGGAGCAAAGCGGG
Molecule: ribosomal RNA, 253 nt
Filed under: uncultured bacterium
Lineage: Bacteria
Description: partial 16S ribosomal RNA
Rfam family: Bacterial small subunit ribosomal RNA
Source: RNAcentral